This 467-nucleotide ribosomal RNA is filed under the name uncultured bacterium. Its description in RNAcentral is "partial 16S ribosomal RNA". It matches the Rfam family "Bacterial small subunit ribosomal RNA", at positions 28 to 506 of the family's 1533-position model. The record is from RNAcentral.
GACGAACGCUGGCGGCGUGCUUAACACAUGCAAGUCGAACGGAAAGGCCCUGCUUUUGUGGGGUGCUCGAGUGGCGAACGGGUGAGUAACACGUGAGUAACCUGCCCUUGACUUUGGGAUAACUUCAGGAAACUGGGGCUAAUACCGGAUAGGAGCUCCUGCUGCAUGGUGGGGGUUGGAAAGUUUCGGCGGUUGGGGAUGGACUCGCGGCUUAUCAGCUUGUUGGUGGGGUAGUGGCUUACCAAGGCUUUGACGGGUAGCCGGCCUGAGAGGGUGACCGGCCAAAUUGGGACUGAGAUACGGCCCAGACUCCUACGGGAGGCAGCAGUGGGGAAUAUUGCACAAUGGGCGGAAGCCGGAUGCAGAAACGCCGCGUGCGGGAUGACGGCCUUCGGGUGGUAAACCGCUUUCGCCUGUGACGAAGCGUGAGUGACGGUAAUGGGUAAAGAAAAACCGGCUAACUACGU